UACGUAGGGGGCAAGCGUUGUCCGGAAUUAUUGGGCGUAAAGAGCGCGUAGGCGGUCCGAUAAGUCGGCUGUGAAAGUCAGGGGCUCAACCCUUGGAAGCCGGCCGAUACUGUCGGACUAGAGUCCGGAAGAGGCGAGUGGAAUUCCCGGUGUAGCGGUGAAAUGCGCAGAUAUCGGGAGGAACACCUAUGGCGAAGGCAGCUCGCUGGGACGUUACUGACGCUGAGACGCGAAAGCGUGGGGAGCAAACAGG
This 253-nucleotide ribosomal RNA is filed under the name uncultured bacterium. RNAcentral describes it as "partial 16S ribosomal RNA". It matches the Rfam family "Bacterial small subunit ribosomal RNA", at positions 524 to 776 of the family's 1533-position model. The record is from RNAcentral.